AUGAAGAGGGAAGUGAAAGCAACUGGUGGCGAUUCGUGACCAGGAUAAUGAAGAGAUAAAGAGAGACAUAAGGAGAGAAAUCGAAAGAGAGAGGAGGAUGGAGAUCAGGAAUUAAGAAAGGGGCCUAUCGGUGAUCGAGACGACCGUGAAACUGCCGUCUUUAGGAGGCGGUGAUGAUGGUUUGAUGAACACCUGUUACUACCAUCGCCUACAUCUUCAUCUAGAGUAAACCGGACCAGAUUAUAGUGAUUUUGGGUUGCUAGGUUCUGUCACGAACCUAGGCAGCAUGGACUUUAGAGAAUAGUCCAGUGUUGAUGAUGGGUUGCUUCCAAGGCUAAACGACUCAAUAAGACCUGAUGAAGAGAUACUAUUUAUAGAAUUUGCUGAAAAUGCUUAUUAACAGUUAGUUGAUUAAAAGACUUUUAAUUACAUACAAAGAGCUCACAGCAAGGUCAGAAGCAUCACAAAGUGCUAAACAAUUUUAAGUGAGCUGCAAGAGGUAACUAAGAUCCAGUUACAUUUUUCCAAGUUGUGGAACCCUCUAUUUUUAUGUCAUCUAUGUCUGGAAUUAUGAAUUAUGAGGUUCUUUAAAAAUGAAUCAAGUUGUUAGCUUCUGAAGUGGGUCGAAUAUAUUGUCCAAAAGCCCUCAAAUUUCCUUGAAAGAUGAUUGUUUGGCUAUGACUAUAUUUUAAUGAAACUGAUACGAUUCUUUUUC
Long non-coding RNA from Helianthus annuus (common sunflower), 715 nucleotides. RefSeq lists it as uncharacterized. The transcript is spliced from 2 exons. The record is from RefSeq and is a predicted model, not a curated record. NCBI's taxonomy places the organism in Eukaryota, Viridiplantae, Streptophyta, Magnoliopsida, Asterales, Asteraceae.